Molecule: long non-coding RNA, 773 nt
Organism: Marmota flaviventris (yellow-bellied marmot)
Lineage: Eukaryota; Metazoa; Chordata; Mammalia; Rodentia; Sciuridae
Source: RefSeq, a predicted model, not a curated record
AUCCCAUUCAGAACUAUUUUGGCACCACCACAGCUGCUGGUGAAACCAGAUGGGCGUAUCCCAGCAGGAGCAGAGCAGGAAUGGGACAGCUAACUCUGAAAAGCGCUCUCCUUGGAGGAUCACAGUUCUGAGGUUCCGGUUGUGAAACUUUAGCUCCAUGCUCUCUCUGUCCUUCCUCCGCCCCCUCCACACCUCUGCGGUGGUCCUCCGGAAGCAUCCUGAGCUCUUCUUCACUCCAGUGCCCAGCAUGUGCUUGGAGGUGCAGAGGGUUCCCAGCUUUCCUACAAUGACAUGGGACAGCGUGUUUUAAAAGCAUUUUAGCACCAUUUAAGAAACCAUACAAGGACAAGGAAAGAAAAGGAAAAAGGAGUAUGAUCUCUGUCCCUCAUCCCAUCUCUACAUGCUUCCUGAGUUCACAGACACUGAUAAUUCAGUGUCCACCUAAGACAUCCUUCCAUCCCAAGUAAGAAUCAGCUUGGUCAAGCUUAAUGAAAACAUCACCAAAAGUGGUGUAAAUGCGGUCUUUCUGUGGCAGGACAAGAAGCCCAUGGGAAAACACUGAUAACGCUGGCUGGGUGCCAGUAUAGCUUCCUUGUGCAAAUGGAUAUUAUAACUCCUACCUCUACCUCGCCUAUUAAAUGGCAUGCAUCUUCGGCAAAACAAUAGAUUAAUGUCUCUCUUGGGAAAUUUAUGCCAAUGACUGUCCAGAUGUGAAUACUGUCUCCAACAUGUGCUCUUGCCAUAGCAUGCUGCCCUUGCCAGAAGCUCAGACC